This 305-nucleotide ribosomal RNA is filed under the name uncultured bacterium. RNAcentral describes it as "partial 16S ribosomal RNA". It matches the Rfam family "Bacterial small subunit ribosomal RNA", at positions 338 to 643 of the family's 1533-position model. The record is from RNAcentral.
CCUACGGGGGGCAGCAGUGGGGAAUAUUGCACAAUGGGGGAAACCCUGAUGCAGCGACGCCGCGUGAGUGAAGAAGUAUUUCGGUACGUAAAGCUCUAUCAGCAGGGAAGAAAAAAAGUCCUUUGGACUUUGGACGGUACCUGACCAAGAAGCCCCGGCUAACUACGUGCCAGCAGCCGCGGUAAUACGUAGGGGGCAAGCGUUAUCCGGAUUCACUGGGCGUAAAGGGAGCGCAGGCGGCAUGGCAAGUCUGAUGUGAAAACCCGGGGCCCAACCCCGGGAGUGCAUUGGAAACUGCCAGGCUG